AAGAUGAUCUGUAUUUUCUCUCUAAAGCAGAGUUCAUUUGCUGAGAAUGAUGGAGAAAAUCAGCAUCUAGCUAAUCAGCUGACCAUGAGAUGCAGAGAUUAUCUGGAAUUAUCCAGAUUGGUCCAUUUAAUUACAUGAGUCCUUAAAAGUGGAAAGUGGAAGAAGAGGCAGAAGAGUGUGUCAGAGAGAUGCUGUGUGAAAAGGACUCAACCUGCCACUUGAGGCUUUGAGGCUGGAGAAAGGGGCCAUGAACCAAGGAUUGUGAGCAGCCUGUAAAAUCUGGAAAAGACAAGGCAAUACCCUUUGCUGUCUCAGGGUCAAACAUGCAACUCCUGCCUGCUUGUAUGGCCAGCUGGGUUCAAGAAGGAAGGAACCUCAUUGUUGACAGUUACCAGAUGAAUGUGCCCCUUCUGUACAGCUAAGAAAUGGAAUAGACAUUGGUAACCUUCCACAGGCCCACACAUGUGUUAUCAGCCAUACCUUAGGACAGAAGGAAUGAGUUUGCAGAAAGGAUGCUCUUCAGAACUCAUGAAGACAUAAGGUGCUUCAAAAGAGGAGACUUUCGGAACAUGAGCAGGGAAAUUGUCACUUGAUAGAUGACAAGCAUUGUGAGAAACAACAGUUUGCCUUUCUUCAUUCCCUUCCUGGUUAUCUUUCCUGUCACAUGAAGAAGAAAUGAAACACCAGAGAGAAUCAGGUUAUCAUCAUCUACACCAGCCACUGUCACUGGCCUUCAAAGUUCAACCUCCCUGGAACUCCAGAACUCCCCACUUUAUAAGAUGAAUGGCUAAUUGGAUCCUAGUACAUAAGGAAACACUGGCAAAAUAGCGACAACUCCAGGAAGGAAAUUGGUAGACUCAACGUCCAGGGAACCUACGAAUCUGCUAUCCCAAGCCUUCUGCCCCCAAACACUUCACCCUGAAAUACAGCCCAGAGCAUGCACUCAGUGAGUCCCACUGAAGAAGAGACGGAAGGCAGAACUGAACAAGAUGUGUCCAGAAGAGGUAGCCAUAGAUCAUGGACAUGACCAAAAGAAGCUUACUUUAUUUUCAACCCUACAACCAUACUGAGAAUUUAGCCCUGGGGACAUCUUCCGAUAUAAUCUGGCAUAGAAGAGUGGUUAUCACACCUUUAGCAUGGGACCCUUGAGACACCUUUGCUGUGAAUAAUGGAGAAGCAAAAGGAGUUACUAAUGAAGACAAACUAAACCUGAGAACAGAGAGAGCCUAACUAUGUGCUCCAGAAGUGCCAUGUGUGUCUAAGGCUGUACAGGAAGCAUGGCACCAACAUCUGCCCAGCUCCUAGGGAGGCCUCGGGGAGCUUUUACUCAUGGUGGAGGGUGAAGCAGGAGCAAGUACAUCAUACGGCGAAAGCAAGAGCAAAUGAAGUUUCGCUCUUCUUGCCCAGGCUGGAGUGCAAUGGCACAAUCUCAGCUCACUGCAACCUCUGCCUCCUGGGUUCAAGCGAUUCUCCUGCCUCAGCCCCCUGAGUAGCUGGGAUUACAGGUUCCUAUAAAGUUCCUGAUAGUUGAAGAAAGUCAGGAGAUCUUAGAAACUGACUUUCAUUUAUAACCUGCUGAUUCACCUAGAUCAGGUUACUGGGAAGAAAUCCAAGUCAGACCUCCUGACCUACUCGAAACAGCAUGAGGAAUUUUGGAAAUACAUCUGGUGCUUCCAGUGACUGUAUAAUAAUCAAUGUAUCCUGACUCUAAAGAAAAGCAGAAGUGAAACUGAAAGUACAGACUACAAGGUGGAAUAUGAUCCCUCUACUAUCAACUAAAAGUCUUAGACUUGCUACCCUUCUGAAAAUGGUUCUGAAGGGGCCCAGGAAGAAACCUCCUCUUCCCCAGCUGAGUUGAGAACCAAGUGGAAGACAAAGAAGUUAGACAGCAGAUGAAAAAGUGACCUGCCUUGCACCUUGCCAGUUGGCUUGCUAGCUCUCCCCUGAUUUGAACUUCUGACAACAGAACAUGCUCCACCAAACUUACCAUGUGAAGGACAGCACAUGGGCAUUCUUUCUGAGACCUGCAAAGAAAACAAAGGGAGAGGCUAAGCAGACAAAGGAAAACUCUUUCUUCUCAAAUCAAUCAGAUAAUGAACUCCUGUUCCCUUUAGGAGAAAUGAGUGGGUGGGGAGAGAAAAGCAAGCAGUUGACCUCUGGAGGUCCUUAGACUUAAAAACAUAAAGCCCAAGGAAGAAAAUUCCUCCCCAGCAUUAACUUGGACCAGUAAUGUUUUUCUAUUUAUAUUCCAUAUGUAAAUAUGCCUGUGAGGUAUUAUGUAUUGUCUUUG
Molecule: long non-coding RNA, 2290 nt
Organism: Homo sapiens (human)
Lineage: Eukaryota; Metazoa; Chordata; Mammalia; Primates; Hominidae
Source: Ensembl